ACGCCUAUAGACCGCCAAGUCGUUAGGAAUCCACGUAUCACGAAGCCACGCACUGACGUCAUCACGCACGUACGCACGCACUGGCCGCCGGGAGACGCUGUUCAGUUUACCGGAUCGUGACGCGCGCCAGCCAACCAGGCCAAGGACAGGGGAGCUCGAAACCGGCAGCCUGGACCAAGAACCGGAAGGAGGAAAAGGAACCCGAGGGAGGAAGAGGAAGAGGAGGGGCAGGACGAGGCCACCAGGCAAGAGUCCAAACUUGCGUGCGGCGACCUAACGGCCCCUCCAGUGUCUACCCCCAGAGGACAUGGAAGUAGCAAGAAGGGCGGGAACACUUGCCUGGGUUCCAUGCAGCUCUAGGCUAAGUCUUGCAGGGCUGUGUGCCCCCAGGCCUGCUCUCCUGUGUCCUAGUCGCUGUCAGUGCCUGCCAGUGGGGUCCAGAGGGACCUUCUUUUUGACGCCUCUUUUGCAAUCUCCCGCAUUGACUUUAUAAGCAAGUUUUGAGUCCCUGCCUCUGGAGUGCCUGAUGAGACAAAACUGCUCCUCGUCCUGCAUCCCCGCUGCUACUUCCAGAACUCAGAGCUCGUGGUCUGGAGCCUGCACUGUUCCAUGAGCCUCCUGACCAACCUGGAAGCCUCUGUCUUUCCUCCCUCAGUGAGAUGCACCUACUUCUCCCUGGAGAAGCUUGAGGAAGCAGGAAUACUGAAGAUGAGACCCAGCACACCCUGCCUGCGCAGCUCUGUGCUGCACCUUCACUCUAGUCACGGGUGUGGCAGUCAGCUCACCAAUUCCUCCUGCUUCCCUGGGACUCGCUGGCUUUUAGCACCGCAAGUCCCUCAGCAAACUGGGACUGUUGAUCACCCUACCCGGCAGCCAGUGAUAAGGUGAGGGCCACUCCUGGGAGGGAGGACACCUGUGGGGAAAAUUCUUGUGUUACUUAUUUCUCCUUCGGGAUAGGGUGCCUGCAGUGCUUCAUGGGAGGGGGUGGGCUGAUGCUGCAAGCUCAGAAGUUUCAAGGGCAUCUAGGGAGACCAGAUAUUCAGAGACCUCCUCCUAGAUGUGCGUGUUCCAUGUAUCAGGGAUGCAGGUUUUCCCAGCAGGACUUGUGUCAUUGGCAUGACAGACCUGCCUUGGCUGAGCGUUCAGCUGUCUUUGGAGUUCAGCCACCUUAGCAAGUCCUGGGUUUGUUCUUCAGACUUUGCUGCUUGCCCAUUGCUUGGAUCGGGGGCUACUUUGUAAACCACCAGGAAGACUCCAGUGUUUCUGCUUAAUUUUUAGAUGUUUGUUAAUUGCCCUUGGCCUCUCAUUAAUCCCGGUGGGUCCUUCAGGAAACAUACCGUUCCCUGAGUUUUCAUUUCCAGGCAUCUGCCCUGCCUGGAUCUCCUCGCCUUCCAGGAGCUUCCUCUUCACAAGCCGGCCAUCCCAGCAAAAGUUCUAACAUCGAAGGUCUAGCAACUAGCCUGCCAUCUUGUGCCUAGAGCCACCUGCGUGCCACCUACCCCCGAAGAUGGGAACCUCGUUGCCAGUUGGGGAGAUGCAGGGCAAUCCUGUACCAAGACCCCAUCUUACCACCUGUUUUCUCGGACCACUCUGGAACCCACUGUCUCAGAUUGGGUCCUCCAGGAAGCAGACUGUGAGAGGGAGUUGGCAGGACCAAAGGUUUACUGGGGCUAACUAACCCUCAGGAAAGGGACAGGAAGGAAGCAGGGCUGGAGAGCAGGUUGAGCCCGACCUGACAGUCUUGAGCAGCCCAGCAGGGAGGUGUGGAGCAAGGGUUGCCCACUAGAGGGGCCUGCAUUGGGCAUGGGUGGUGGGGUCCACAUGGUACCUGGCACACAGCAGGCUGUGCAAUCCAUAUUAACUGCCUGGAUGAAUUAAUGCCCAGGAAAGGUGCCCUGGAGAACGGGUCUGUGCUGAGCACAAUAGGGAAGGGCCCAGCAUCUGCCUUGGCAUAGGCAGAACUGUGCUGUGCCCUGCAACAGGCCACCUGAGAGCUGCUGUCAUCUUGUGUGUGCAUUAGACAACUGUCAGGGGCAUGAAGGGGAUGUGCUUCCAGGGCAUUUGCUGGCAGGGUGUCUCGUGAUCUCUUGGUAUUGGUGUGAGCACAGCCUGGCAGGAGAGGGCAGAUCUCAGUGCAAAGUAUCAUGUCAAAAAGCAGAUCGAAGCCAGGCCCCCUCCUGGAAGAGGCUCC
This is an RNA transcript of Mandrillus leucophaeus (drill), 2191 nucleotides long. RefSeq lists it as uncharacterized. Lineage: Eukaryota; Metazoa; Chordata; Mammalia; Primates; Cercopithecidae. The transcript is spliced from 5 exons. The record is from RefSeq and is a predicted model, not a curated record.